Rhipicephalus sanguineus (brown dog tick) is the source of this 439-nucleotide long non-coding RNA. RefSeq lists it as uncharacterized. NCBI's taxonomy places the organism in Eukaryota, Metazoa, Arthropoda, Arachnida, Ixodida, Ixodidae. The transcript is spliced from 3 exons. The record is from RefSeq and is a predicted model, not a curated record.
CCAUGCGCUGCGGAUUGGGAGGUUGUAGGUUCGACUCGCAGCGGCGAAGCUUUUCGUUCUAGUUUUUUUUUCUUUGCCAUCUGUUAGUGUACAUUUUACGUCAUAUCCGUGACGAUAAUACGUCAGUGGAGCCGUGGUGGACCCCGGCAUAAAACACUUUCGUGUUAAAAAACAUGGCUGAUCGCUCCGUAAUAGGAGUCGGUAUAACACCAAUUAUAUGGACAGUCUCGGCUGAUUUUUGCCGUCGCCGUCGCCGUCGCCGCCGUCAUGCACCGUAUAUGUAUAGACAGACCGCUGUCAAAUGUUCACCUUUAAGUCAUAAACGGAACUGUUUGUUAAGCACGGACGAAUGAUUGUGCUGGACGUACAGUUGAUGCCUGGACAAGAAAGCGAGAAUAAGUAUCAUGACUGCCAAAGUACAGCACGUAUUAAAUAUUUC